GACGACGCUGGCGGCGUGCUUAACACAUGCAAGUCGAACGGAAAGGCCCAGCUUGCUGGGUACUCGAGUGGCGAACGGGUGAGUAACACGUGGGUGAUCUGCCUUGCACUCUGGGAUAAGCCUGGGAAACUGGGUCUAAUACCGGAUAUGACCUCUGACUGCAUGGUUGGGGGUGGAAAGCUUUUGCGGUGUGAGAUGGGCCCGCGGCCUAUCAGCUUGUUGGUGAGGUAAUGGCUCACCAAGGCGACGACGGGUAGCCGACCUGAGAGGGUGAUCGGCCACACUGGGACUGAGACACGGCCCAGACUCCUACGGGAGGCAGCAGUGGGGAAUAUUGCACAAUGGGCGCAAGCCUGAUGCAGCGACGCCGCGUGGGGGAUGACGGCCUUCGGGUUGUAAACUCCUUUCGCCAGGGACGAAGCGCAAGUGACGGUACCUGGAGAAGAAGCACCGGCCAACUACGUG
RNAcentral lists this ribosomal RNA (465 nucleotides) under uncultured bacterium. Its description in RNAcentral is "bacterial SSU rRNA". It matches the Rfam family "Bacterial small subunit ribosomal RNA", at positions 33 to 507 of the family's 1533-position model. The record is from RNAcentral.